GCGCUGCUGAGGAGUUCCACAAAUAGGACGAAAUGGCCAUCCAGUGC
Molecule: non-coding RNA, 47 nt
Filed under: Schistosoma margrebowiei
Lineage: Eukaryota; Metazoa; Platyhelminthes; Trematoda; Strigeidida; Schistosomatidae
Source: RNAcentral